UACGUAGGGUGCAAGCGUUGUCGGAAUUAUUGGGCGUAAAGAGCUCGUAGGCGGUUUGUUGCGUCGGCUGUGAAAUCCCGAGGCUCAACCUCGGGUCUGCAGUCGAUACGAGCAAACUAGAGUGUUGCAGGGGAGACUGGAAUUCCUGGUGUAGCGGUGAAAUGCGCAGAUAUCAGGAGGAACACCGGUGGCGAAGGCGGGUCUCUGGGCAACAACUGACGCUGAGGAGCGAAAGCGUGGGGAGCGAACAGG
This 252-nucleotide ribosomal RNA is filed under the name uncultured bacterium. Its description in RNAcentral is "partial 16S ribosomal RNA". It matches the Rfam family "Bacterial small subunit ribosomal RNA", at positions 524 to 776 of the family's 1533-position model. The record is from RNAcentral.